CUACGGGUGGCUGCAGUGGGGAAUAUUGGACAAUGGGGGCAACCCUGAUCCAGCCAUGCCGCGUGUGUGAAGAAGGCCCUCGGGUUGUAAAGCACUUUCAGUGAGGAAGAACGCCUGGUGGUUAAUACCCAUCAGGAAAGACAUCACUCACAGAAGAAGCACCGGCUAACUCCGUGCCAGCAGCCGCGAUAAUACGGAGGGUGCGAGCGUUAAUCGGAAUUACUGGGCGUAAAGCGCGCGUAGGUGGCUUGAUAAGCCGGUUGUGAAAGCCCCGGGCUCAACCUGGGAACGGCAUCCGGAACUGUCAAGCUAGAGUGCAGGAGAGGAAGGUAGAAUUCCCGGUGUAGCGGUGAAAUGCGUAGAGAUCGGGAGGAAUACCAGUGGCGAAGGCGGCCUUCUGGACUGACACUGACACUGAGGUGCGAAAGCGUGGGUAGCAAACAGGAUUAGAUACCCCAGUAGUC
RNAcentral lists this ribosomal RNA (464 nucleotides) under Vreelandella stevensii. RNAcentral describes it as "partial 16S ribosomal RNA". It matches the Rfam family "Bacterial small subunit ribosomal RNA", at positions 339 to 795 of the family's 1533-position model. Lineage: Bacteria; Pseudomonadati; Pseudomonadota; Gammaproteobacteria; Oceanospirillales; Halomonadaceae. The record is from RNAcentral.